Molecule: small RNA, 103 nt
Filed under: Arabidopsis thaliana (thale cress)
Lineage: Eukaryota; Viridiplantae; Streptophyta; Magnoliopsida; Brassicales; Brassicaceae
Description: ATSL202920
Source: RNAcentral
AUUCAUGUGCUAUAAAUUCUCGUUUUUCCUGUAGUGCUUGAUAGCUAGUGCAGUUUCCAUCUUCUCUUGGUCAAUACCAUCUGAAAACUUUUUAACUCUUUUU